AUGAAUGGGAACAUUUCCUUAGCAACUCUUUGAAUAUUCCCAAGCAUCAAAUAAGGACUCGUCAUUUUAUUGUCUAAAUAAAGUAAUUUCAUUUCGCAUCUU
Lathyrus oleraceus (garden pea) is the source of this 102-nucleotide small nucleolar RNA. NCBI's taxonomy places the organism in Eukaryota, Viridiplantae, Streptophyta, Magnoliopsida, Fabales, Fabaceae. The record is from RefSeq and is a predicted model, not a curated record.